Molecule: ribosomal RNA, 1314 nt
Filed under: metagenome
Description: bacterial SSU rRNA
Rfam family: Bacterial small subunit ribosomal RNA
Source: RNAcentral
CGGAACGUACCUUUCAGUGGGGGAUAACGUAGCGAAAGUUACGCUAAUACCGCAUAUUCUGUGAGCAGGAAAGCAGGGGAUCGCAAGACCUUGCGCUGAUGGAGCGGCCGAUGUCAGAUUAGCUAGUUGGUGGGGUAAAGGCUCACCAAGGCGACGAUCUGUAGCGGGUCUUAGAGGAUGAUCCGCCACACUGGAACUGAGACACGGUCCAGACUCCUACGGGAGGCAGCAGUGGGGAAUUUUGGACAAUGGGCGCAAGCCUGAUCCAGCCAUGCCGCGUGAGUGAAGAAGGCCUUCGGGUUGUAAAGCUCUUUCGGCCGGGAAAAAAUCGCUUGGGUUAAUACCCUGAGUGGAUGAUGGUACCGGAAUAAGAAGCACCGGCUAACUACGUGCCAGCAGCCGCGGUAAUACGUAGGGUGCGAGCGUUAAUCGGAAUUACUGGGCGUAAAGCGUGCGCAGGCGGUUUUGUAAGACAGGCGUGAAAUCCCCGGGCUCAACCUGGGAACUGCGUUUGUGACUGCAAGGCUAGAGUAUGGCAGAGGGGGGUGGAAUUCCACGUGUAGCAGUGAAAUGCGUAGAGAUGUGGAGGAACACCAAUGGCGAAGGCAGCCCCCUGGGCCAAUACUGACGCUCAUGCACGAAAGCGUGGGGAGCAAACAGGAUUAGAUACCCUGGUAGUCCACGCCCUAAACGAUGUCAACUAGGUGUUGGGUGGGUAAAACCAUUUGGUACCGUAGCUAACGCGUGAAGUUGACCGCCUGGGGAGUACGGCCGCAAGGUUAAGACUCAAAGGAAUUGACGGGGACCCGCACAAGCGGUGGAUGAUGUGGAUUAAUUCGAUGCAACGCGAAAAACCUUACCUACCCUUGACAUGCCAGGAACUUGCCAGAGAUGGCUUGGUGCCCGAAAGGGAGCCUGGACACAGGUGCUGCAUGGCUGUCGUCAGCUCGUGUCGUGAGAUGUUGGGUUAAGUCCCGCAACGAGCGCAACCCUUGUCGUUAAUUGCCAUCAUUUAGUUGGGCACUUUAACGAGACUGCCGGUGACAAACCGGAGGAAGGUGGGGAUGACGUCAAGUCCUCAUGGCCCUUAUGGGUAGGGCUUCACACGUCAUACAAUGGUCGGUACAAAGGGUUGCCAAGCCGCGAGGCGGAGCCAAUCCCAGAAAGCCGAUCGUAGUCCGGAUCACAGGCUGCAACUCGCCUGCGUGAAGUCGGAAUCGCUAGUAAUCGUGGAUCAGCAUGUCACGGUGAAUACGUUCCCGGGUCUUGUACACACCGCCCGUCACACCAUGGGAGCGGGUUCCGCCAGAAGUA